This is a long non-coding RNA of Melitaea cinxia (Glanville fritillary), 751 nucleotides long. RefSeq lists it as uncharacterized. Lineage: Eukaryota; Metazoa; Arthropoda; Insecta; Lepidoptera; Nymphalidae. The transcript is spliced from 2 exons. The record is from RefSeq and is a predicted model, not a curated record.
UCGUACGGACCACUGACGAUAACACUACACCCUUAAAACACGAAGAACAAGCUCUAAUCACAACCUAAAGACACGCAGAGAAUAGAGAAGCCAUUAAUGAAAGUGAAAUUUUUACAACAGUGUUAUCGAAUCGACCAGCCCACGUAAAAAUCGAUAGCGAGAUAAUAUGAGACGGGGAUUGCAUUGAUAAAUGCACCUGGAAAAUAAUACAUAUCUGACAUUCGGGAUCAGCGCCGUCCGCGCCAACAUUCAUCAUGGGGAUUAGACGCCACCGCGCCUCAGCCAAGAUGUCCACCGACACGUCACGGAUUCCGCUCGUCACUACAUCGUAGCGUUAUUAAUAAACGUGUUAAUUCCAUCGAUGCUGUAUCCCGUACAUAUCACGUGGGCGUCUUUUCGCGAAGUUUGGUAGGACGUAAGUCGUGACGCCGUACGUGUGUUUAAGAAUAGACACGCCAUUGAUUUCGUGCGCGCCUCCUAGGACCCAUCGAUGCCCCGUUACCGUUUCAGUGAAGAUUGGCUGUAACGAUGUGGGCUAUACAAUAAAUCAGAUGACAACGCAGUGAGGUCACCUUGACCUACCGCAGACGCAGAAGUACCUGUAAACUGUCCAUCGCUACAACAGCCUACAUCCAUUGUGAACUAGUGCGUCGUGAUUCAAUCGCUCUUGUAGUUAUUGUUUACAUUUGUAUCUAGACAACUGUUGUAUGUAACUUCAACAGUGUUUUAAUAUACUUUUUUAAAUAUAAAA